GACGAACGCUGGCGGCGUGCUUAACACAUGCAAGUCGAGCGAGAAACCUUCGGGUUUCUAGCGGCGGACGGGUGAGUAACACGUGGGUAACCUGCCUUAAUGAGGGGGAUAGCCUUCCGAAAGGAAGAUUAAUACCGCAUAACAUUGAGUUUUCGCAUGAAGAUUCAAUCAAAGAUUUAUCGCAUUAAGAUGGACCCGCGGCGCAUUAGCUAGUUGGUGAGGUAACGGCUCACCAAGGCAACGAUGCGUAGCCGACCUGAGAGGGUGAUCGGCCACAUUGGGACUGAGACACGGCCCAGACUCCUACGGGAGGCAGCAGUGGGGAAUAUUGCACAAUGGGGGAAACCCUGAUGCAGCAACGCCGCGUGAGUGAAGAAGGUCUUCGGAUCGUAAAGCUCUGUCUUUGGGGACGAUAAUGACGGUACCCAAGGAGGAAGCCACGGCUAACUACGUG
Molecule: ribosomal RNA, 454 nt
Filed under: uncultured organism
Description: bacterial SSU rRNA
Rfam family: Bacterial small subunit ribosomal RNA
Source: RNAcentral